This 615-nucleotide ribosomal RNA is filed under the name uncultured Synechococcus sp. Its description in RNAcentral is "bacterial SSU rRNA". It matches the Rfam family "Bacterial small subunit ribosomal RNA", at positions 122 to 770 of the family's 1533-position model. Lineage: Bacteria; Bacillati; Cyanobacteriota; Cyanophyceae; Synechococcales; Synechococcaceae. The record is from RNAcentral.
GAAUCUGCCCUCAGGAGGGGGAUAACGGUUGGAAACGACCGCUAAUACCCCAUAUGCCGGGAGGUGAAAUGAAAUUCGCCUGAGGACGAGCUCGCGUCUGAUUAGCUAGUUGGCAAGGUAAUGGCUUACCAAGGCAUUGAUCAGUAGCUGGUCUGAGAGGAUGAUCAGCCACACUGGGACUGAGACACGGCCCAGACUCCUACGGGAGGCAGCAGUGGGGAAUUUUCCGCAAUGGGCGCAAGCCUGACGGAGCAACGCCGCGUGAGGGAUGAAGGCCUCUGGGCUGUAAACCUCUUUUAUCAAGGAAGAAGAACUGACGGUACUUGAUGAAUAAGCCACGGCUAAUUCCGUGCCAGCAGCCGCGGUAAUACGGGAGUGGCAAGCGUUAUCCGGAAUUAUUGGGCGUAAAGCGUCCGCAGGCGGUUUUACAAGUCUGUCGUUAAAGCGUGGAGCUCAACUCCAUUUCAGCGAUGGAAACUGUAAGACUCGAGUGUGGUAGGGGCAGAGGGAAUUCCCGGNGUAGCGGUGAAAUGCGUAGAUAUCGGGAAGAACACCAGUGGNGAAAGCGCUNUGCUGGGCCAUAACUGACGCUCAUGGNNGAAAGCCANGNGNNCG